AACGAACGCUGGCGGCACGUUUUAAGCAUGCAAGUCGAACGGCAGUGGGGGCAACCCCAUGAGAGUGGCGAACGGGUGAGUAACACGUAGGUGAUCUGCCUUUGGGUUGGGGAUAGCUUGUGGAAACACAGGGUAAUACCGAAUGAGCUGACGAUGCUUUGGCCAUGUUAGUAAAGGUGCUACGGCACCGCCUAGAGAGGAGCCGGCGGCUGAUUAGCUAGUUGGUGGGGUAAAGGCCUAACAAGGCGAAGAUCAGUAGCCGGCCUGAGAGGGAGUACGGCCACACUGGAACUGAGACACGGUCCAGACUCCUACGGGAGGCAGCAGCUAAGAAUCUUCCGCAAUGGGCGAAAGCCUGACGGAGCGAUGCCGCGUGAUCGAUGAAGGUCGAGAGAUUGUAAAGAUCUUUUCCAACUGAGGAAUAAGUGGACCAGGGAAUGGGUUCAUGAUGACGUUAAGUUGGGAAUAAGCCCCGGCUAAUUACGUGCCAGCCGCCGCCGUAA
RNAcentral lists this ribosomal RNA (503 nucleotides) under uncultured bacterium. RNAcentral's name for it is "partial 16S ribosomal RNA". It matches the Rfam family "Bacterial small subunit ribosomal RNA", at positions 29 to 523 of the family's 1533-position model. The record is from RNAcentral.